This 292-nucleotide ribosomal RNA is filed under the name uncultured bacterium. Its description in RNAcentral is "partial 16S ribosomal RNA". The record is from RNAcentral.
GGACUACCCGGGUAUCUAAUCCCAUUCGCUCCCCUGGCUUUCGUUCCUCAGCGUCAGUUAUGGCCCAGCUAGUCGCCUACGCCACCGGUGUUCUUCCCAAUAUCUACGCAUUUCACCGCUACACUGGGAAUUCCACUAGCCUCUACCACACUCCAGUCCGCCAGUAUCCAAUGCACUCCCAGGGUUGAGCCCCGAUCUUUAACAUCAGACUUAACGAACCGCCUACGAACUCUUUACGCCCAAUAAAUCCGGACAACGCUUGCAUCCUACGUCUUACCGCGGCUGCUGGCAC